UAAACCAGCAAUCGACGACCGUACGAGAACUUGCUCUCUGAUGUAACGGCGGACGGUGAAGUAACCACCUGGAUACCUACCUAUUAGACUGGGGAAACUUCGGGAACCGGAGCUAAUACCGGGAUAUAUUUUGGACCGCCAUGGUUCAAAGUGAAAGACGGUCUUGCUGUCACGUAUAGAUGAUCCGCGCUGCAUUAGCUAGUUGGUAAGGUAACGGCUUACCAAGGCAACGAUGCAUACCGACCCUGAGAGGUGAUCGGCCACACUGGAACUGAGACACGGUCCAGACUCCUACGGGGAGGCAGCAGUAGGGAAUCUUCCGCAAUGGGCGAAAGCCUGACGGAGCAACGCCGCGUGAGUGAUGAAGGUCUUCGGAUCGUAAAACUCUGUUAUUAGGGAAGAACAUAUGUGUAAGUAACUGUGCACAUCUUGACGGUACCUAAUCAGAAAGCCACGGCUAACUACGUGCCAGCAGCCGCGGUAAUACGUAGGUGGCAAGCGUUAUCCGGAAUUAUUGGGCGUAAAGCGCGCGUAGCGGUUUUUUAAGUCUGAUGUGAAAGCCCACGGCUCAACCGUGGAGGGUCAUUGGAAACUGGAAAACUUGAGUGCAGAAGAGGAAAGUGGAAUUCCAUGUGUAGCGGUGAAAUGCGCAGAGAUAUGGAGGAACACCAGUGGCGAAGGCGACUUUCUGGUCUGUAACUGACGCUGAUGUGCGAAAGCGUGGGGAUCAAACAGGAUUAGAUACCC
Molecule: ribosomal RNA, 747 nt
Filed under: uncultured Staphylococcus sp.
Lineage: Bacteria; Bacillati; Bacillota; Bacilli; Caryophanales; Staphylococcaceae
Description: bacterial SSU rRNA
Rfam family: Bacterial small subunit ribosomal RNA
Source: RNAcentral